This 253-nucleotide ribosomal RNA is filed under the name uncultured bacterium. RNAcentral's name for it is "partial 16S ribosomal RNA". It matches the Rfam family "Bacterial small subunit ribosomal RNA", at positions 524 to 776 of the family's 1533-position model. The record is from RNAcentral.
UACGGAGGGGGCUAGCGUUGUUCGGAAUUACUGGGCGUAAAGCGCGCGUAGGCGGCUUUGUAAGUUAGAGGUGAAAGCCCGGAGCUUAACUCCGGAACUGCCUUUAAGACUGCAUUGCUAGAAUCAUGGAGAGGUGAGUGGAAUUCCGAGUGUAGAGGUGAAAUUCGUAGAUAUUCGGAAGAACACCAGUGGCGAAGGCGGCUAACUGGACCAUUCUUGACGCUGAGGUACGAAAGCGUGGGGAGCAAACAGG